GACGAACGCUGACGGCGUGCUUAACACAUGCAAGUCGAACGAUGAACCCGGAGCUUGCUCUGGGGGAUUAGUGGCGAACGGGUGAGUAACACGUGAGUAACCUGCCCUGGACUCUGGGAUAAGCGUUGGAAACGACGUCUAAUACCGGAUAGGACCUUGGAUCGCAUGAUCUGGGGUGGAAAGUUUUUUCGGUCUGGGAUGGACUCGCGGCCUAUCAGCUUGUUGGUGAGGUAAUGGCUCACCAAGGCGUCGACGGGUAGCCGGCCUGAGAGGGUGACCGGCCACACUGGGACUGAGACACGGCCCAGACUCCUACGGGAGGCAGCAGUGGGGAAUAUUGCACAAUGGGCGAAAGCCUGAUGCAGCAACGCCGCGUGCGGGAUGACGGCCUUCGGGUUGUAAACCGCUUUUAGUAGGGAAGAAGGGCUUCGGCUUGACGGUACCUGCAGAAAAAGGACCGGCUAACUACGUG
This 472-nucleotide ribosomal RNA is filed under the name uncultured bacterium. Its description in RNAcentral is "partial 16S ribosomal RNA". It matches the Rfam family "Bacterial small subunit ribosomal RNA", at positions 28 to 507 of the family's 1533-position model. The record is from RNAcentral.